Long non-coding RNA from Melitaea cinxia (Glanville fritillary), 437 nucleotides. RefSeq lists it as uncharacterized. NCBI's taxonomy places the organism in Eukaryota, Metazoa, Arthropoda, Insecta, Lepidoptera, Nymphalidae. The record is from RefSeq and is a predicted model, not a curated record. The transcript has 2 exons.
UUAUUAAGUGUUUUAUGCGUAACCGAAUUAAGGUAAAGUUCUUCCUAUAUUAAUUGGUUUAUUAUUAUUAUGUUACUGGAUGUCACUCCACCCGCUUAAUAUUUAUGUAGAUAAAGGCGCUGGUAAUCUUUUAUUAUGCAAUUGCUUGUUGUCCUAAAUAAAAUAAAAUCUUAAAAAUGAAGUACUUUAUAGGAUGGAAUAUAGAUCACGAGCAAGCCCAGAGCAGUUCGCAGCUUUACUGGAAUUCAUGGAAAGCCAUGGCGAUUUAACAAGGCCGCAGCAAGGCCCCCAAGGUCGAAUAAAAGCUGACCGACUGUGGCAGGAACUAGGAGAGCUGCUUAACUCGCUUGGUGGAGGAGUAACAAAGCCAGUGGACAAAUGGAAAAAAGUUAGAUUGUGACACAAACUUCUGUAAAAUAUUAUUUGGUUUCCUAUUA